Molecule: ribosomal RNA, 253 nt
Filed under: uncultured bacterium
Lineage: Bacteria
Description: partial 16S ribosomal RNA
Rfam family: Bacterial small subunit ribosomal RNA
Source: RNAcentral
UACGGAGGGUGCAAGCGUUGUCCGGAAUCAUUGGGUGUAAAGGGUGCGUAGGCGGGUUUUUAAGUCUGGGGUGAAAGUCUGCGGCUCAACCGUAGGAUUGCCCUGGAUACUGGAAAUCUUGAGUAUAACAUAGGCCGGUAGAAUUCGUGGUGUAGCGGUGAAAUGCAUAGAUAUCACGAAGAAUACCAGUGGCGUAGGCGGCCGGCUGGGUUAUAACUGACGCUGAGGCACGAGAGCGUGGGGAGCAAACAGG